Molecule: ribosomal RNA, 685 nt
Filed under: Psychrobacter piscatorii
Lineage: Bacteria; Pseudomonadati; Pseudomonadota; Gammaproteobacteria; Moraxellales; Moraxellaceae
Description: bacterial SSU rRNA
Rfam family: Bacterial small subunit ribosomal RNA
Source: RNAcentral
CUACCAUGCAGUCGAGCGGAACGAUGAUAGCUUGCUAUCAGGCGUCGAGCGGCGGACGGGUGAGUAAUACUUAGGAAUCUACCUAGUAGUGGGGGAUAGCACGGGGAAACUCGUAUUAAUACCGCAUACGUCCUACGGGAGAAAGGGGGCAACUUGUUGCUCUCGCUAUUAGAUGAGCCUAAGUCGGAUUAGCUAGAUGGUGGGGUAAAGGCCUACCAUGGCGACGAUCUGUAGCUGGUCUGAGAGGAUGAUCAGCCACACCGGGACUGAGACACGGCCCGGACUCCUACGGGAGGCAGCAGUGGGGAAUAUUGGACAAUGGGGGAAACCCUGAUCCAGCCAUGCCGCGUGUGUGAAGAAGGCCUUUUGGUUGUAAAGCACUUUAAGCAGUGAAGAAGACUCUUCGGUUAAUACCCGGGGACGAUGACAUUAGCUGCAGAAUAAGCACCGGCUAACUCUGUGCCAGCAGCCGCGGUAAUACAGAGGGUGCAAGCGUUAAUCGGAAUUACUGGGCGUAAAGCGAGCGUAGGUGGCUUGAUAAGUCAGAUGUGAAAUCCCCGGGCUUAACCUGGGAACUGCAUCUGAAACUGUUAGGCUAGAGUAGGUGAGAGGGAAGUAGAAUUUCAGGUGUAGCGGUGAAAUGCGUAGAGAUCUGAAGGAAUACCGAUGGCGAAGGCAGCUUCCU